GACGAACGCUGGCGGCGUGCCUAAUACAUGCAAGUUGAGCGCUGAAGGUUGGUACUUGUACCGACUGGAUGAGCAGCGAACGGGUGAGUAACGCGUGGGGAAUCUGCCUUUGAGCGGGGGACAACAUUUGGAAACGAAUGCUAAUACCGCAUAAAAACUUUAAACACAAGUUUUAAGUUUGAAAGAUGCAAUUGCAUCACUCAAAGAUGAUCCCGCGUUGUAUUAGCUAGUUGGUGAGGUAAAGGCUCACCAAGGCGAUGAUACAUAGCCGACCUGAGAGGGUGAUCGGCCACAUUGUGACUGAGACACGGCCCAAACUCCUACGGGAGGCAGCAGUAGGGAAUCUUCGGCAAUGGACGAAAGUCUGACCGAGCAACGCCGCGUGAGUGAAGAAGGUUUUCGGAUCGUAAAACUCUGUUGGUAGAGAAGAACGUUGGUGAGAGUGGAAAGCUCAUCAAGUGACGGUAACUACCCAGAAAGGGACGGCUAACUACGUG
Molecule: ribosomal RNA, 497 nt
Filed under: uncultured bacterium
Lineage: Bacteria
Description: partial 16S ribosomal RNA
Rfam family: Bacterial small subunit ribosomal RNA
Source: RNAcentral